UACAGAGGGUGCGAGCGUUGUCCGGAAUCACUGGGCGUAAAGGGCGCGUAGGUGGCGACCCAAGUCGAUGGUGAAAGCUCGCCGCUCAACGGCGAGUCGGCCACCGAUACUGGGUUGCUGGAGCACUGUAGAGGCAGAUGGAAUUCCGGGUGUAGCGGUGGAAUGCGCAGAUAUCAGGAGGAACACCGGUGGCGAAGGCGGGUCUCUGGGCCGUAACUGACGCUGAGGAGCGAAAGCAUGGGGAGCGAACAGG
This 253-nucleotide ribosomal RNA is filed under the name uncultured bacterium. RNAcentral's name for it is "partial 16S ribosomal RNA". It matches the Rfam family "Bacterial small subunit ribosomal RNA", at positions 524 to 776 of the family's 1533-position model. The record is from RNAcentral.